Molecule: transfer RNA, 77 nt
Filed under: Coniochaeta ligniaria NRRL 30616
Lineage: Eukaryota; Fungi; Ascomycota; Sordariomycetes; Coniochaetales; Coniochaetaceae
Rfam family: tRNA
About the family: Transfer RNA (tRNA) molecules are approximately 80 nucleotides in length. Their secondary structure includes four short double-helical elements and three loops (D, anti-codon, and T loops).
Source: Rfam by way of RNAcentral
GGCAACGUGCCAGAGUGGUUAAUGGGUUAGCCUCGAAAGCUAAUGGCUUCGGCCAGGUUCGAAUCCUGUCGUUGUCG